AUGCCCUGGGGGCCGGCACGGCGAGCGGCCCAGCACCCAGCUUACCCGGCGCGCCCAGCCCCCAGGCAGCCGGCGAGGUCCCGGGAGGCAUCCCGCGCACGGCGCCCCGCAGACCGCACGACAAAGCGGGGCGGCCGGGCUGGGUGCUCGUCGCUUCCUGUUUAUUCCUCCGCGAGGGUCACAGAAAUCCUGCCCACGCCCGCUUUUUUUUCGGGCUCGGGGCGCAGUCUAAGGGCCAGCGGCGCCCGGACCAGCGGGAGCCCCUGCAGCCCCUGCCCAGCGCAGCGCGCGCAACACCCUGAAGCGCGGGGUCCAGGGUCCUCCCACCCCGCAAACUCGGGCAGGUCCCGCACAACCUGCCCGCGGACCCCGCCUCCCGCACCGCGCCGCGGCGGCGCACAACCGCGUGGGGCACCAGGAAGCCGACGGCUCGGUGGGGGCCGCCGUCCCGCGCCCGCCCCCGGGAGCGCCGGGCGCCGCAGUGCCCAGCGCGACCCUGGAGAGGGCGCCGACGGCGGAGAUCGAGGACAUCCCGUUCCAGCGUCCCGUCCUCCCGCCCGCGCCCCCGCCCCGAACUUCGCCGGACGCCGCAGCACCCGGUCAGCCUUUACCUGCGGCCGCGGCUUUGGAGUGAGGCGGCGAGCGCCCGGGGUCGACGAGGGAGGGCGGGAUGCUUUAAGGGCCCGGAUCGGCCCGGGCUCCCCGCGUUCCCCGCCCCCUUCAACGCUCCCGGGACGCGCAGUCGGCCUGGCGGCGGCGGCUCCUCCCCGAUCCGCAGAGGAUCCCCGGCCUCGCUGGCCGGUCCGCAACGCCGGGCGGGGAAGCGGGAGACAGUGCCGUCUCCGCCUCCGCGCCGUCUGUCUCCCGCCGGCCCGCUCGCCGCGGCCGCGUCUGCCUCGCGGUCCGCCGGCCUCUCCACCCUCCCCAUCCCCCUCCAAGCGGGACCGGCGGCGGCCAGGCGGGGCGGGGGCGGGGUGGGCCGUCCGGACCCCGAGCGGGCAGUGCGGACCUCCGCGGACCGCGGCCACAGAGCAGGGAGAGCUGGCGGCCAGGCCGCGGGACCCCCGGCUGCGCACGAGGCUCGCCUCGGCCUGCCGGGGCGCGCGCCCACCGCCGGCCGGACGGGGAACUCCAUCCCGGAGCCGGAGACGGCGGCGGGGGCCGCGCACGCCCCUGGUAACCUGUUACCCCACACAGGCCCAGACGCACAGCAGGGCUGCAGGACCCUUCUAG
This 1233-nucleotide long non-coding RNA is filed under the name Cervus hanglu yarkandensis (Yarkand deer). Its description in RNAcentral is "lncRNA (ENSCHYG00000016148.1)". Lineage: Eukaryota; Metazoa; Chordata; Mammalia; Artiodactyla; Cervidae. The record is from RNAcentral.